UACGUAGGUGACAAGCGUUGUCCGGAUUUACUGGGCGUAAAGAGCGCGCAGGCGGUCGUUCAAGUCGAGUGUGAAAGCCCCCGGCUUAACUGGGGAGGGUCAUUCGAUACUGAUCGACUCGAAGGCAGGAGAGGGUAGUGGAAUUCCCGGUGUAGUGGUGAAAUGCGUAGAUAUCGGGAGGAACACCAGUGGCGAAGGCGACUACCUGGCCUGUUCUUGACGCUGAGGCGCGAAAGCUAGGGGAGCAAACGGG
This 253-nucleotide ribosomal RNA is filed under the name uncultured bacterium. Its description in RNAcentral is "partial 16S ribosomal RNA". It matches the Rfam family "Bacterial small subunit ribosomal RNA", at positions 524 to 776 of the family's 1533-position model. The record is from RNAcentral.